This 524-nucleotide ribosomal RNA is filed under the name uncultured bacterium. RNAcentral's name for it is "bacterial SSU rRNA". It matches the Rfam family "Bacterial small subunit ribosomal RNA", at positions 13 to 526 of the family's 1533-position model. The record is from RNAcentral.
UUGAUCAUGGCUCAGAAUUGAACGCUGGCGGCAUGCCUUUACACAUGCAAGNUCGAACGGCAGCACGGACUUCGGUCUGGUGGCGAGUGGCGAACGGGUGAGUAAAGCAUCGGAACGUACCCGAUCGUGGGGGAUAACGCAGCGAAAGCUGCGCUAAUACCGCAUAAGAUCUGCGGAUGAAAGCGGGGGACUCGCAAGAGCCUCGCGCGAACGGAGCGGCCGAUGUCAGAUUAGGUAGUUGGUUGGGGUAAAGGCCCACCAAGCCGACGAUCUGUAGCUGGUCUGAGAGGACGACCAGCCACACUGGGACUGAGACACGGCCCAGACUCCUACGGGAGGCAGCAGUGGGGAAUUUUGGACAAUGGGCGCAAGCCUGAUCCAGCCAUGCCGCGUGCAGGAAGAAGGCCUUCGGGUUGUAAACUGCUUUUGUACGGAACGAAAAAGCCCUGGCCAAUACCCGGGGCUAAUGACGGUACCGUAAGAAUAAGCACCGGCUAACUACGUGCCAGCCGCCGCGGUAAUUC